UCAGGAUGAACGCUAGCGGCAGGCUUAACACAUGCAAGUCGAGGGGCAGCGCGAGUAGCAAUACUUGGCGGCGACCGGCGCAAGGGUGCGUAACGCGUGAGCAACAUGCCCGUAUCAGGGGGAUAAUCCAGGGAAACUUGGUCUAAUACCCCAUAGUAAUUUUGUAAGGCAUCUUAUAAGAUUUAAAGCUUUGGUGGAUACGGAUUGGCUCGCGUGACAUUAGCUGGAUGGUAAGGUAACGGCUUACCAUGGCUAUGAUGUCUAGGGGUUCUGAGAGGAAGGUCCCCCACACUGGAACUGAGACACGGUCCAGACUCCUACGGGAGGCAGCAGUGAGGAAUAUUGGACAAUGGAUGGAAAUCUGAUCCAGCCAUGCCGCGUGAAGGAAAGAAGGUCCUAUGGAUUGUAAACUUCUUUUGUAUGGGAGCAAUAAGGCCUACGAGUAGGUUGAUGAGAGUACCAUACGAAUAAGCACCGGCUAACUCCGUGCCAGCAGCUGC
RNAcentral lists this ribosomal RNA (500 nucleotides) under uncultured bacterium. RNAcentral describes it as "bacterial SSU rRNA". It matches the Rfam family "Bacterial small subunit ribosomal RNA", at positions 24 to 518 of the family's 1533-position model. The record is from RNAcentral.